Molecule: non-coding RNA, 334 nt
Organism: Cinara cedri
Lineage: Eukaryota; Metazoa; Arthropoda; Insecta; Hemiptera; Aphididae
Source: the annotation of a GenBank genome assembly
AGACCUGUAAAUAACAUCCUAUCCGAAGGAAGACUAAACGUUUAUACGCAAUUGGCGUGAUAUAUGCACGUCGGUAGAUUAUAAUAAUAUAUAGGUACGUCUCUCACCGACAGUCGUAUUAUUUCGUAUGAAUUCUCCGCUGAAAACGAUCGGUCUACGUGUCGGGAUAAUAAGUAAACCUAGCUGGUUUAGAAUAUUGAAUUUUCUACCGGCAACGCGGGCAGAUGGUCAGGAACAUGGAACUUCAUUAAAUGCGGAGAGGGAUGGAUUUCCCGGGAGAGCUAAAAAUACGCACGUGGACCGAAACGGCACCGCGGAGAGCCGUGUUCGUAUU